RNAcentral lists this ribosomal RNA (253 nucleotides) under uncultured bacterium. RNAcentral describes it as "partial 16S ribosomal RNA". It matches the Rfam family "Bacterial small subunit ribosomal RNA", at positions 524 to 776 of the family's 1533-position model. The record is from RNAcentral.
UACGGGGGGAGCAAGCGUUGUUCGGAUUUACUGGGCGUAAAGGGCGCGUAGGCGGCGCAACAAGUCAGUUGUGAAAUCUCUGGGCUUAACCCAGAGCGGUCAACUGAUACUGUCGUGCUAGAGUGCGGAAGGGGCAACUGGAAUUCUCGGUGUAGCGGUGAAAUGCGUAGAUAUCGAGAGGAACACCUGCGGCGAAGGCGGGUUGCUGGGCCGACACUGACGCUGAGGCGCGAAAGCGUGGGGAGCGAACAGG